RNAcentral lists this non-coding RNA (30 nucleotides) under Rattus norvegicus (Norway rat). Lineage: Eukaryota; Metazoa; Chordata; Mammalia; Rodentia; Muridae. The record is from RNAcentral.
UAAAGCGUUGCCCACAAAACUGAGAAAGUC